GAUGAACGCUAGCGGCAGGCCUAAUACAUGCAAGUCGAACGGCAGCGCGGGUAGCAAUACCUGGCGGCGAGUGGCGCACGGGUGCGUAACACGUAUGCAACCUACCCCUAACCGGGAAAUAGCUCGGAGAAAUUCGAAUUAAUGUCCCAUAAUAUCAUGAAGUGGCAUCUCUUUAUGAUUAAAGAUUAAUCGGUUAUGGAUGGGCAUGCGUUUGAUUAGCUAGUUGGUGAGGUAAUGGCUCACCAAGGCUACGAUCAAUAGGGGUUCUGAGAGGAUGAUCCCCCACACUGGUACUGAGAUACGGACCAGACUCCUACGGGAGGCAGCAGUAGGGAAUAUUGGGCAAUGGAGGCAACUCUGACCCAGCCAUGCCGCGUGAAGGAAGACGGCCUUCUGGGUUGUAAACUUCUUUUAUAUGGGAAGAAAUGACUCUCGCGAGAGGCUUUGACGGUACCAUAUGAAUAAGCACCGGCUAACUCCGUGCCAGCAGCCGCGGUAAUACGGAGGGUGCGAGCGUUGUCCGGAUUUAUUGGGUUUAAAGGGUGCGUAGGCGGCUUUAUAAGUCAGUGGUGAAAGUCUAUGGCUUAACCAUAGGAUUGCCAUUGAUACUGUAAAGCUUGAGUAUAGUUGAGGUAGGCGGAAUUGACGGUGUAGCGGUGAAAUGCAUAGAUAUCGUCAGGAACACCGAUUGCGUAGCAGCUUACUAAGCUAUAACUGACGCUGAGGCACG
RNAcentral lists this ribosomal RNA (730 nucleotides) under uncultured Bacteroidota bacterium. RNAcentral describes it as "bacterial SSU rRNA". It matches the Rfam family "Bacterial small subunit ribosomal RNA", at positions 28 to 755 of the family's 1533-position model. The record is from RNAcentral. Lineage: Bacteria; Pseudomonadati; Bacteroidota.